RNAcentral lists this ribosomal RNA (1317 nucleotides) under metagenome. Its description in RNAcentral is "bacterial LSU rRNA". It matches the Rfam family "Bacterial large subunit ribosomal RNA", at positions 1598 to 2925 of the family's 2925-position model. The record is from RNAcentral.
GGUCAUGCUUCCAAGAAGAGCCCUAUACCCGUUAAGGCAUGAUGGCCUGUACCCGAAACCGACACAGGUGGGGUGGUAGAGAAUACCGAGGGGCGCGGGGUAACUCUCUCUAAGGUACUCGGCAAAAUGGCCCCGUAACUUCGGGAGAAGGGGUGCCACCGCAAGGUGGUCGCAGUGAAGAGGCCCAGGCGACUGUUUACCAAAAACACAGGUCUCCGCUAAGUCGCAAGACGAUGUAUGGGGGCUGACGCCUGCCCAGUGCCGGAAGGUUAAGGAAGCUGGUCAGCGUAAGCGAAGCUAGCGACUGAAGCCCCGGUGAACGGCGGCCGUAACAAUAACGGUCCUAAGGUAGCGAAAUUCCUUGUCGGGUAAGUUCCGACCCGCACGAAAGGCGUAACGAUCUGGGCGCUGUCUCGGAGAGAGGCUCGGCGAAAUAGAAUUGUCUGUGAAGAUGCGGACUACGUGCACCCGGACAGAAAGACCCUAUGAAGCUUUACUGUAGCUUGGUAUUGUGCUCGGGCUCGGAAUGCGCAGGAUAGGUGGGAGGCUAUGAACCAUUGCUUGCGGGUGAUGGUGAGCCACUGGUGAGAUACCACUCUUUCCGAGCUAGAGUUCUAACAGCCACCCGUUAUCCGGGGGCUGGACAGUAUCAGGUGGGCAGUUUGACUGGGGCGGUCGCCUCCUAAAGGGUAACGGAGGCGCGCAAAGGUUUGCUCAGGCUGGUUGGAAAUCAGCCGACGAGUGUAAAAGCAGAAGCAAGCUUGACUGUGAGACCUACAAGUCGAACAGGGAGGAAACUCGGCUUUAGUGAUCCGACGGUUCUGCGUGGAAGGGCCGUCGCUCAACGGAUAAAAGUUACUCUAGGAUAACAGGCUGAUCUCCCCCAAGAGUUCACAUCGACGGGGAGGUUUGGCACCUCGAUGUCGGCUCAUCGCAACCUGGGGCUGAAGUCGGUCCCAAGGGUUGGGCUGUUCGCCCAUUAAAGCGGUACGCGAGCUGGGUUCAGAACGUCGUGAGACAGUUCGGUCCAUAUCCGGUGCAUGCGCAGGAAUAUUGAGAGGAUUUCUCCCUAGUACGAGAGGACCGGGAGGAACGCACCUCUGGUGUACCAGUUAUCGUGCCAACGGUAAACGCUGGGUAGCCAUGUGCGGAGAGGAUAACCGCUGAAAGCAUCUAAGUGGGAAGCCCACCUCAAGAUGAGUAUUCCCAUGGGGUAACCCAGUAAGGUCACGGGAAGAACACCCGUUGAUAGGCUCUACGUGGAAGCGCAGUAAUGUGUGAAGCUGAGGAGUACUAAUAGACCGAGGGCUUGACCGC